GUGCUCUCUUUGACAGCACACAUACUAAAAUUGGAACGAUACAGAGAAGAUUAGGAUGGUCCCUGCACAAGGAUGACACGUAAGUUCGUGAAGUAUUCCAUAUUUUU
Molecule: small nuclear RNA, 107 nt
Organism: Choloepus didactylus (southern two-toed sloth)
Lineage: Eukaryota; Metazoa; Chordata; Mammalia; Pilosa; Megalonychidae
Source: RefSeq, a predicted model, not a curated record